AAAGCAUUAAUAUAACCAUCAGCCAAGUUGCUUGACCCAAAAUUGCGAUGACAAUACUCACUGGCUAAAUCAUUAACAUACUUUGCCAAGAUUUCGUUUGUCUCUCUGCAUUUCUUUUUAGAUACAAAUCUAUUCUGGGGAUAUGCUUGCAUCAGUUGCUGCUGUCUAUAUUUGUCUCCUGAGCUUCCUCUAACUGAGGUAAUUAGUCCCUCUAACAUUGCAGAUACUGCAAUUGCUCCUCCUGAGGAGACCGUAUCGUCAUUAACAACUCCUCCAUAUGAUGAAGAAAUUCCAUUGCCGCUAUUAUUAUGAUUAUUAUUAUUAUUAGAAGAAGAAUGCUGUCCUAACACUCCUCCACCAUUCAAAGCUGUUGUUAAUGAUGAGCUACUACCUGAAUUUGAAUUAAUAUUUGUACCUGAUAUUGUCAUUGAAGAUGAAUGAUCAUCAGUAGUGUUUCUACAAGUACUACCUCCCUCUAAAACAGUUGUUGAAUUACCUUCGAUUCCUCCUCCAUUCAUAGUAAUAUCUGUCUGAUUCUUCAAUGACCCUCUUCUUUUAAUUCCUCUUGAAGGAAUUCUUCCUGAUCCUGUUGUUAUUGUUUGAGAAACUGAAUUCUUUGAUUGAUGAUCAUUUAUUCCUUCAGUAGUAUUCACAGAAUCCAUUAUCUCUUGUGAUUUAACAACAGCUUCUGAAACCAC
RNAcentral lists this non-coding RNA (698 nucleotides) under Cryptosporidium parvum. Lineage: Eukaryota; Apicomplexa; Conoidasida; Eucoccidiorida; Cryptosporidiidae. The record is from RNAcentral.